AUGCACUCCUUAGGAGGUUGUGUUAUUAUUUUAUCAUCGAAUUUAUCCUUUGAUAUUACUGAGGGCGAUAAGAUGGAAAUGGCUUCGGAGCUUACUCACAGCCUGUUCAAAGCUGCUUCUAUCUUUUAUCUCGUCUUUUCUAGAUGGGGUGAUGUUCUGGCCCUAAGUAGCCCAUUCAAGGAGAGGGAUACUUGGAAAACUAAGGCCGAACCUAUGGAGAUGAAGUGCAUUAAUAUUUAG
Vicia faba (fava bean) is the source of this 240-nucleotide non-coding RNA. The record is from the annotation of a GenBank genome assembly. NCBI's taxonomy places the organism in Eukaryota, Viridiplantae, Streptophyta, Magnoliopsida, Fabales, Fabaceae.